This 244-nucleotide ribosomal RNA is filed under the name uncultured bacterium. RNAcentral's name for it is "partial 16S ribosomal RNA". It matches the Rfam family "Bacterial small subunit ribosomal RNA", at positions 524 to 776 of the family's 1533-position model. The record is from RNAcentral.
UACGUGUGAGGCAAGCGUUAUUCGUCUUUAAUGGGUCUAAAGGGUACGUAGGCGGUAUAUAUAAUCUUAUUAUUAAUCACCUUAGAGUGGGUUUGCAUAUUUAUAUACUAGAGUUAUAAAAGGAGUAACAAACACGACAAGAGGAGUGUGACAAUACUAAUAUACUUGAAAGGUUGCGUAGCGGCGAAAGCGUGUUACUAUAGAAAACUGACGCUAAGGUACGAAGGCAUAGGUAUCGAUCGGG